GACUCAGUACUUUAAACAAAAGAUUUGAUUUGCAUUCAAAAAAUAGAUUAUUAAAUCUCUAGGUCA
This 66-nucleotide transfer RNA is filed under the name Euspira gilva. RNAcentral describes it as "tRNA-Ala". Lineage: Eukaryota; Metazoa; Mollusca; Gastropoda; Littorinimorpha; Naticidae. The record is from RNAcentral.